GCGAUCGCUUUUAAAUGUCACGUCUCCCAGCUAUGUCAUCAGUUUGAAAUGUAUCUUUAUUUCUAUUAUGUUGCAUCAUGGAUCCGAACACCACACAUUUUACAAAUUUCCAAGCACUCUUAAUUGGGGCGAGGAGGAAAUUCGAGGAAAAAUGGAAACAGCCGUUUGUGGAAAGGGGAAAAUUGGACGAUUUCAAACUUGUUCAGACCCUAGGAACUGGAUCAUUCGGCAGAGUUAUGCUAGUGAAAUUGAAGAAGGAUGAUAGUCCUUACGCGUUGAAGAUGCUGGAAAAAGCUCAUGUAGUAAAAACUAAGCAAGUUAAACACACUUUAUCGGAAAUUCGGACUAUGGAUGCUUUUGAUUUUCCGUUUCUAAUAAAGUUGGAGUAUUUCUUCAAAGAUAAUGUUUAUUUGUGCUUGGUUAUGCCUUUUAUAAAUGGAGGGGAGAUGUUUUCGCAUUUGCGACAACAGAAGAGGUUUUCUGAGGAGUUAACUCGCUUCUAUGCAGCUCAAGUUAUUCUAGCCUUCGAAUAUAUACACUUUCUGGGCAUUAUUUAUAGAGAUUUAAAGCCUGAAAAUAUAUUGAUUGAUUGCAUAGGGUAUCUCAAAUUAACCGACUACGGUUUCUGUAAAAAAGUUGACGACCAGAGGACCUAUACUCUUUGUGGAACCCCUGAAUACUUGGCACCCGAAAUAAUCCUCAGUCAAGGUUAUAACAAAUCGGUAGAUUGGUGGGCUCUUGGAAUUCUAAUUUUCGAGAUGGCAGCUGGAUAUCCCCCGUUUUAUGCCAGAGACCCGAUGAAAAUUUAUGAAAAAAUUGUUUCUGGAAAAUAUAUCCCGGCUAAUCAUUUCUCGAAAAGUUUGAAGGAUCUCAUUCAGAAUAUUUUACAGGUAGAUAGAACUAAGAGAUUUGGCAUUUUAAAAAAUGGAGCGAAAGAUGUCAAGCAACAUGUUUUUUUCAAAGAUAUUAUUUGGGAUACAAUUUAUUAUAAGACGAUGGCACCACCAUAUCUCGUUAAUAUAACGGAUGGAGACGACACAACUCAUUUCGAUAAAUUCACGGAGGUGCCUUUAAAAAAAUGUUCCAAAAAUUUAUUUGCUGCAGAAUUUUCCAAGAUAGAAGCAAAGGCUGGAGCUGUUUCUUUCGAAGAGAACUGAUUUUUGAAGUAGAAAUAUUAUAGGUGGAAACUGAAAAAUUAUAUGGCGAUUUCGUCCGAAUUUUAAUGAUAUAUUGCUAUCAUGCAAAAUCUUAACGUUUCACAGCUGCUAAAGGUAUGGAGUAUUAAAGGACGGAUCCAAAGAUGUGAAAGCUCACAAUUUCUUCAAGGGAUUCGAAUGGGACCCCCUUCU
Molecule: RNA transcript, 1349 nt
Organism: Coccinella septempunctata (seven-spotted ladybird)
Lineage: Eukaryota; Metazoa; Arthropoda; Insecta; Coleoptera; Coccinellidae
Gene name: cAMP-dependent protein kinase catalytic subunit 1-like
Exons: 4
Source: RefSeq, a predicted model, not a curated record